This 912-nucleotide ribosomal RNA is filed under the name Cosella sp. GD98. RNAcentral describes it as "partial large subunit ribosomal RNA". It matches the Rfam family "Eukaryotic large subunit ribosomal RNA", at positions 366 to 944 of the family's 3401-position model. The record is from RNAcentral. Lineage: Eukaryota; Metazoa; Arthropoda; Arachnida; Trombidiformes; Eriophyidae.
AAAUAGAACUUUGCAGAGAGAGUUAACAGGGCGUGAAACCGUUAAUUGGCAAACGAAUCGGAGCCACGAAGUCGUUUCGUCGAUAGUUUGGCUGAGUUCAGUGCUUAUAAAGUUGAACAAACCUUGUAAGCGCGUACUCUCAUGUUGAACCAUCUUUGUAAGCGUACACUGCAACUAGUUAGACGAUUGACAAUGGGCCUAGUGGGCUGUUGCGAGAGGUAGUGAAUUGGCCCCGUGAAUGCGGGUGUCCGGUUUGCUGGCUCGCAAUAAGUGAGCUAUUGUCAAAUACUGACUGGCGAAAUGAAAAUCACCUUCGUACGAAGUGUGUGUUCAAAAAGUUGUCCAAUGCAGUAUUAUCACGCAGUUGGCGCGUAAGUUUUAAAGUUCGGUACUUUUGAAUUUAGACUUGCAUGCUAUCAACGGGGCAACUCUUGGUGCAUGUAUAGCCUCUAUCUAAUCGGGUAUUGACUUGGCUUGCGUGAAAGUCAUCUGUGAAACGAUUGGUAGUACUUGGUUGGAUUAACUAAUAGAAUUGGCAGUGAGUAGGUCGGCUUUCCGAACGACCCGUCUUGAAACACGGACCAAGGAGUCUAGUUAGGCAUCGAGUCGAUCGGUCUUGAAUAGGCCAGCUUGUGAGCGCAUCUGUGCUGGAAGGCGUAGAGAAUCAUGUGAUCUUGUGGCAAAACCAAUGCUGCGAGCGCAACAUGUACCUGCUCGUAUGCCAUUGUUGCAACGCGCAAUGUUGGCUGUUGAUGGCGGGCGGAGUAAAGAGAUGCUUGACUGGUACCCGAAAGAUGGUGAUGCUUGGGCAAAUUGAAGCCAGAGGAAACUCUGGUGGAGGAUUGUAGCGAUUCUGACGUGCAAAUCGAUCGUCAGACCUGAGUAUAGGGGCGAAAGACUAAUCGAACCAUC